RNAcentral lists this ribosomal RNA (926 nucleotides) under Cortinarius sp. PDD 103683. RNAcentral's name for it is "eukaryotic LSU rRNA". It matches the Rfam family "Eukaryotic large subunit ribosomal RNA", at positions 44 to 957 of the family's 3401-position model. The record is from RNAcentral. Lineage: Eukaryota; Fungi; Basidiomycota; Agaricomycetes; Agaricales; Cortinariaceae.
CAAUAAGCGGAGGAAAAGAAACUAACAAGGAUUCCCCUAGUAACUGCGAGUGAAGCGGGAAAAGCUCAAAUUUGAAAUCUGGCGGUCUUUGGCUGUCCGAGUUGUAAUCUAGAGAAGUGUUAUCCGUGCUGGACCGUGUACAAGUCUCCUGGAAUGGAGCGUCAUAGAGGGUGAGAAUCCCGUCUUUGACACGGACUGCCAGGACUUUGUGAUGCGCUCUCAAAGAGUCGAGUUGUUUGGGAAUGCAGCUCAAAAUGGGUGGUAAAUUCCAUCUAAAGCUAAAUAUUGGCGAGAGACCGAUAGCGAACAAGUACCGUGAGGGAAAGAUGAAAAGAACUUUGGAAAGAGAGUUAAACAGUACGUGAAAUUGCUGAAAGGGAAACGCUUGAAGUCAGUCGCGUUGUCCAGGGAUCAACCUUGCUUUUGCUUGGUGCACUUUCUGGUUGACGGGUCAGCAUCAAUUUUGACUAUUGGAAAAAGAUUAGGGGAAUGUGGCAUCUUUGGAUGUGUUAUAGCCCUUGGUUGCAUACAAUGGUUGGGAUUGAGGAACUCAGCACGCCGCAAGGCCGGGUUUUAACCACGUACGUGCUUAGGAUGCUGGCAUAAUGGCUUUAAUCGACCCGUCUUGAAACACGGACCAAGGAGUCUAACAUGCCUGCGAGUGUUUGGGUGGAAAACUCGAGCGCGUAAUGAAAGUGAAAGUUGAGAUCCCUGUCGUGGGGAGCAUCGACGCCCGGACCAGACCUUUUGUGACGGUUCCGCGGUAGAGCAUGUAUGUUGGGACCCGAAAGAUGGUGAACUAUGCCUGAAUAGGGUGAAGCCAGAGGAAACUCUGGUGGAGGCUCGUAGCGAUUCUGACGUGCAAAUCGAUCGUCAAAUUUGGGUAUAGGGGCGAAAGACUAAUCGAACCAUCUAGUAGCUGGUCU